This is a non-coding RNA of Peromyscus maniculatus bairdii (prairie deer mouse), 636 nucleotides long. The record is from RefSeq and is a predicted model, not a curated record. Lineage: Eukaryota; Metazoa; Chordata; Mammalia; Rodentia; Cricetidae.
GAGCGCUCACUCUGGGAGUUCAAGGUCAACAUCUGACCAUUGGCUGAAUCCAGUUUGCCAGGCUUCAUAAACUGAGUCAAUGCUGGGAAGACAAUGGCGUCCAUCAGUCUGUGCAUUUCCUGAUCACUAUCAGACAUUAGGAAAAAAGUCGAGUCUCUCCCAUCUGUUGAAGACACGGCAGUCAGAGUGAGUAGAGACUCCAUCCGGGUCGGUGUUCCUUGAGGAAACUGAGCAAAGAGACAUAAGAGAAAAAUAGGAAGAUGCUGAGAAUUGCUUUGGCAAAAGAGUUGGACUGGGUAUUGGUGCUGUGGAGUGGAAGUGAUAUCCAAGUGACUAUGCUCUCAGGAAGAGGACCAGGAGAAAUCACUUGUCAAAGAAAUGAUUCCAUUGUUUCAUUAGCUGGAAAAUCUGGAUCUGAUCUUUGGAAGGAGGAUUUGGAACAUAACGACCAUGCCUUUUAAUGAAAAGAUUAACAAUGCUUCAGAGCUGAAUAGUCCUGUAUUUGUUUAAAAUGGGCCUUGCAUUUUACUCUCUUGAGAACAUACAAUACCGACUCUUGUCCUGGGUUUAUAUACCAUUCCAAUCUCCUUGCCCAUGUUCUAAAUAAAGGUGGUAUGACUAUAUGUUUAAAAUAAG